AAUAAAUUUAAUUAUUGUUUAAAUAUUUAUUAAAAAAUUAAAAAUUAUAUAUAAAAUUUUAUAUAAUUAAAAAAUUUAAAUAAUUUUUUAAAUAAUAUAAUUUAUAUUUAAUAUAUUAAAAUUUAUAAAAAUAAAAUAAAGUAAAUUAAUUAAUUAUAAAUAAAAUUAGUGCCAGCAAUUGCGGUUAAACUAAUUAUAAAAAUAAAUAUUUUAUAAUUUAAUAAAAAAUAAAAAAUUAAUUAAAAAAUUAAAUUAAAUAUUAAUUUUUUGGUGAAAUAUAAUUUAAUAUUUAUAUUUAAUAUUUAAAAUUAAAAAUUAAUUAUUUUAAAUUUAUUAAUAAAAUAGGAUUAGAUACCCUAGUAUUUAAAUAUAAAUAUAUAAAAAUUUAAGUAUUAAAUGUUUUAUCAUUAAAUUUAAAUAAUUUGGCAGUAUUUUUUAUAUUAGAGGAACUUGUUUUUUAAUUGAUAAACCACGUUUAUAACUACUUAAUUAAAAUUUUUUAUGUAUUGUUGUUUUAAAUUUAUCAUUAUAAAUGAAAGAAUAUUUAAAAUUUUUGAUAUAAAAAUAAUUCAAAUCAAAAUGUAGAAUAAUUAAGAUAGAAUGAGUUACAAUUAUUUUAAAUAUUGGGUUUUUAUAUUUAUUUAUAAGAUAAAAUUGGAUUUAAAAGUAAAAUUAAUUAUAUAAUUAAUUUGAAUAAUAUAAAAAAUGUGUACAAAUUGCCCGUCAUUUUUAUUUUAAAAUAAAAAAAGUCGUAACAUAGUAAAUGUACUGGAAAGUGUAUUUAGAUUAAA
RNAcentral lists this non-coding RNA (791 nucleotides) under Tapinoma ibericum. Lineage: Eukaryota; Metazoa; Arthropoda; Insecta; Hymenoptera; Formicidae. The record is from RNAcentral.